This 336-nucleotide ribosomal RNA is filed under the name Salmonella enterica. Its description in RNAcentral is "bacterial SSU rRNA". It matches the Rfam family "Bacterial small subunit ribosomal RNA", at positions 1 to 335 of the family's 1533-position model. Lineage: Bacteria; Pseudomonadati; Pseudomonadota; Gammaproteobacteria; Enterobacterales; Enterobacteriaceae. The record is from RNAcentral. RNAcentral also lists the same sequence under 1 other name.
AAAUUGAAGAGUUUGAUCAUGGCUCAGAUUGAACGCUGGCGGCAGGCCUAACACAUGCAAGUCGAACGGUAGCACAGAGAGCUUGCUCUCGGGUGACGAGUGGCGGACGGGUGAGUAAUGUCUGGGAAACUGCCUGAUGGAGGGGGAUAACUACUGGAAACGGUGGCUAAUACCGCAUAACGUCGCAAGACCAAAGAGGGGGACCUUCGGGCCUCUUGCCAUCAGAUGUGCCCAGAUGGGAUUAGCUGGUUGGUGAGGUAACGGCUCACCAAGGCGACGAUCCCUAGCUGGUCUGAGAGGAUGACCAGCCACACUGGAACUGAGACACGGUCCAGA